CCUAACCAGAAAGCCACGGCUAACUACGUGCCAGCAGCCGCGGUAAUACGUAGGUGGCAAGCGUUGUCCGGAAUUAUUGGGCGUAAAGCGCGCGCAGGUGGUUCCUUAAGUCUGAUGUGAAAGCCCACGGCUCAACCGUGGAGGGUCAUUGGAAACUGGGGAACUUGAGUGCAGAAGAGGAAAGUGGAAUUCCAAGUGUAGCGGUGAAAUGCGUAGAGAUUUGGAGGAACACCAGUGGCGAAGGCGACUUUCUGGUCUGUAACUGACACUGAGGCGCGAAAGCGUGGGGAGCAAACAGGAUUAGAUACCCUGGUAGUCCACGCCGUAAACGAUGAGUGCUAAGUGUUAGAGAGUUUCCGCCCUUUAGUGCUGCAG
RNAcentral lists this ribosomal RNA (375 nucleotides) under Bacillus sp. NSi05. RNAcentral's name for it is "bacterial SSU rRNA". It matches the Rfam family "Bacterial small subunit ribosomal RNA", at positions 478 to 851 of the family's 1533-position model. Lineage: Bacteria; Bacillati; Bacillota; Bacilli; Caryophanales; Bacillaceae. The record is from RNAcentral.